Molecule: long non-coding RNA, 1893 nt
Organism: Aquila chrysaetos chrysaetos
Lineage: Eukaryota; Metazoa; Chordata; Aves; Accipitriformes; Accipitridae
Exons: 6
Source: RefSeq, a predicted model, not a curated record
GCUGGCUGGGGUUAAACCAUGACUCCUAUCUAUCACACAAUGUCUCAGCUGGAUGGUCUGUAACACCUCCCGAGAAGAAUAUGAGUCCUCUGCUUGCUCACUCACUCAGCAUAAUGAAAAGAAGAGAUGAAAUAAAGUCAGCACUCAAAAUAGACUCUCGACCACUGGAUGCUGCUCUUUGCAUCAGGCUAUGAAAGGAGAGCCAUUCCCACUGUGUAACUCUGCCGCAGUACGUUUUGUUACUCAUGUACAGAUCCAAGAAUAAAUUUUGGCCCUGACCAUGGAAUAUUCACUCACUUUCAAAUACGGAUGUGACCUGCCUUCUCCUUCUGCAACUAACAGGGUGACCAGAGGCAGUGGAAUGUACACCAGGAUUGGAAAGAAUAAAACCAGAGGGAAAGCAAGCUGUCAAGAGAACAGUGUACUGAAGAGGAAAAAAUGAUCUCUGUUGCACAAAGAGCAGAGGCACUGUUCUGCAGCCCGAGAGUCCUGUUAGUACAGAAUUUGAUUCACAAUUUCCCACUCUGCUACUGCUGCCUGAAAGCACCUAAAGCUUUGCGUCUGGGCAUCUCCACGAGCAUCCAAAUCUUGAUCCACUCACUCUUAGUACCUGCACUUGACGCAGAAGGUGUUUUUCCCCUUCCAGAGCAGGCUCCUGGUCCUAGAUGUGCUCCAGAUACUUAACCGGCUCAGGAAACAGAGCGCAAGUCUCUUGUCUCCCAUGUGACCGUGCUAACCACUGAGCUAAACAGUCUGUUCAGGUUCGCUCAGUCUCCCUGACCUAGUAAAUGUUCGUAAAUCCCACGCGAAGCGUAACAGCAAGAGACCUUGGAAGAGCCCCACCCCAAAGCCAGUCACGCAGCAUGUUGUGACAGCCCUCGGUGGCUCAGGCCGGGAAUUAAGGACCGCUGCGGCUUUCCCAGGUGAAUCAGCAGCAGGAAUUCCUUUGGGAAGAGCGCAAUUACCAGGGCUGGAAUUUAACCAGAAUUAACACCCAGCUCCUGCGAAAAUUCCCAUCCUUAAGAAUCGCUGCCGGUCAGGACGUUGGUUUUUGCACCUUGCUGGGAAAAGAGCAAGCAGGUGUCUUCAGUGCUCACCCCAGGGACUCGGCGUGGGUCGAGCAGCGGGGCGAAGCACUGCCGGCUGUCUUGCCGGCACCCCCUUCAGAAGAAGCUCUCCACCAUCUUCCCCCCAAAACUCCUGCCUCACCCCAGCCUAGUUCAGGCUGGUAACUUCCACUGGACUUUUUAACCACAGGCCGAAGUGCUGUACAGCUAUGGAAGUACUUUAUAAAAGAUUUUCAGUCAUACAUCCCGAAGAAAUACUGAGAGGGCUUGAAAACUUUGUGCUUCCCUGCCCUUUCCCACGUGCCGCGUGACCGAUUUGCAGUACCAGUGUGAAAAUGGACUGAACCAUCUCUGCACUUUCCCCGGCCCCAUUUUCCGGAGGCAGACCUUUCUAGGAAAAGCAUUUCCCUUUGGCCACUGCUGACCAAAUGGAUAUGGCUUGCAGCAGGGAGCAAUUGGAGCUAGCCCCUCGGUUUCCCUGCACGGACGCCUGACAAUCUCUGUCCCAGCCCUCUCUGUUCGUGGAGUGCUAUUCUUCAGCAGCAGGUAGAGGACUACCUGUGAUCAUGGAGAACUGUGGGGAUAAAAAUGGAUUGAAAAGUAUUAUUUGUAGCUCAGAAAGAAACGUGGUGAGACGAUAAACAAUCCCCCUGUUUGAAUCCCUGUGUUUCUUUCAAAGAAUCAACAAAAUCUAAUGAGCAAUUAUUAUUGUACAGCUCUCUCGCAUUCCUAGUGGAAAUAGUUGCACAGAUUUCUUGUACAGCUCUCUCGCAUUCCUAGUGGAAAUAGUUGCACAGAUUUCAAAAUCUCUCCCACUUCCUGAGCC